RNAcentral lists this long non-coding RNA (313 nucleotides) under Elaeis guineensis (African oil palm). Its description in RNAcentral is "long non-coding RNA (EGUI_LNC048620)". Lineage: Eukaryota; Viridiplantae; Streptophyta; Magnoliopsida; Arecales; Arecaceae. The record is from RNAcentral.
AACUAAAUUAGAUUUGGAUGUGAGGAAGAAAGAAAGAAGAACUCUUUGGCAUAAAAAAUCUCAUGUGAAAACUAUUUGUGUGUGGAGAUAGAUAGCAUGCAAAGUGGGUUGGCGUAAGGGAGAAGAGUCCAAUCCUAUAUGGACUCUUUAUUUUUUUAUUUGAAUCCAAACCAAAUUUGAUUUAGCCCAAAUAAAAUAGAUGAAACUUAAUCUAAUUAGAUUUAUAAAUUUUUAAUUAAAUCUUAAUCAAAUUAAAAAUUAAUUGAAUCAAAGUCCUGAUCAAAUCAGAGAUAAUUCUCCCUUAGCAAUUAGG